UUAUGAACUCUGUGGAGGUCUUAAUAAGUACUGAUGAUGCCAGCACAGGGGUGGUGAUGACAGGUGGCCAUAGUAGGAGCUCAGGGGCCAGCCUGGGGCUACCCCAAAGGAAACCUCUCAUUGCUGAGCCCAGAGACAGUAGUGGUGGUCUAUGACAGGAAGCAAUGGUUGGGAAGUAGGGGAGAACCAAAUCGCUCCCUACCCAUGCCAGCCAAAACACUGGCCCUUCUGAGGUCCAGCUUCUUCAGCCCUCCCUGCUCAUGUCCAGCUGGAGGCCUGGGGAUCCCAGGCCAGGCCAGGCUGGGGGCACAGGCUGGGACCACUUUUCUCCCAGCUAGGAUCCAGAACGAGGGCUUUCUUCCCAGAGUCAGGAUGGGUGAGCCUUCCUCACAUAGGUGUCCCUGACCGAAAAAAGGAAUUGUGACUUCGGUCCUGGAGAGGGUGGAGAGGGAAGGCUGCAGCCCAAGAAAGCACUCCUGGAGGAGAGGGUAGGAGGAGCAAGUGUCCAAGUGAGUAUGGCAUCAGGGCCACUGAAGGGCCCCAGGCAGCUCAGCACUGGGCAGGGAGGACAUGGGGACAACAAGGCUUCAGAGGCCAACGGCCAGAGGGCGCCCACAUCAUGCCUAGUCAGGGUGGACCCCCUGUCUACAGACCUGAAAUCUGCCCAUGGUGAAGAGAUUCCAGCUAUCAGAAGGUCCCAGCACUGAGCGCUGCAUCCAGGAGCCCGGCCAUUUGCAGGAAGUGUGGAUUAGACGGAGGAGUCUCUGCUUUUGGUCUCAGCUUAACCUGCUUUCACAGCUUCCAGUCUUCGUGAGGGUCUGAAGACCUGGGCCCCCUAAGGUCCUUCUGGGUUUGGACCAUGCCCUGGGGCUAGAUUGUGGCCUCAUCCCUCUAUACUCCAGUGUAAAAUUAGCACUGCUCACUCGUGCCCUCCUCCUCCCCAAAGCCCCUGGGGGAGACAUCCCCCCGCUUCGUCUCCCAGAAACACAUAUGAGAAGGGUGCAGCCCCAAAGCCAAGCUGCCGUUCCUCAGGAGCUUUCUGAGGCCUGAAGGACCUAGAGCCAGUCCCCGUAACCUGGUAUGAAGAAACCCCACAGAGUCUACCACUCCUCCCCAUACCAAGCCCUGGUCUGGGGCCCACAGUUGCUCCCCUCUCACAGCCCUCUGACUCCAGCCUGACUCAGCCUCCGGCCCUGCCCCCAGCCUGCCUUCGCUCCAGAGCCAGCUGGAGCGCAUGCCGCAAGGUCUCCACAUUGUUCAGAACAUUGUAUCGACUCAGAGCCACCAGCCGCUCAAACUCCUCAGGCUCAUAGGUGAAGUUCAUCAUGCCAUAUGGAGUGUCUGCCCCAUUGACCACAAAGUCCCCGUAGGCCUUCUCCUCGGCUGUUUGUCGCUCCACACCUACAGGAGGAACCGGGCCAGUGUCGAUCCUGAGGCCUGGAAGGUGUGGAGCAGUGGCCAACCUGGGCCCUCCAAGAGGCAAGGGGUCCAGGAAAUCCACUGUCAGAACGGCACCCCACCACCACCCUGGGCUGUGUGAGCCAGACCCCGGCCCAGGGCCUCCCCUCACCUGGGGCCAGGUGUGUGCAGAAGGUACGGUUGACGAGGGGAAAGUGCAGCACGAUGGGAGAGCGGGGGUCCUUGGCCUUGGCGAACAGGUAGCACUCACGGGGUUCCUCCAAGUCCUCGGGGAGCACCUCGAUACUUGGGAAGGGGAUGCCUCGGUCCAGGCAGUACUUCUCUGUCAUCUGUAAGACCUGGGCAGGGAGGCCAGCUUUGGACCCUGCCUCCGGCUGCCUGCACUCACAUAGCCCGCCCACUAGCUGAGUGACUGCAGGUGGGCUACAUCACCUUCCCCAGCCAAUGUCUUUAUUUACAUAAUAAAAAAGAGAAUAACUCUAGUGGGGGGUUGUGGAGAUUAAGGACAAUCAUUAGUGUUCCCAGUGUCAUUCCUCUCCUUCCCUUCUCUGGCUCCUCCCUGCUUCCUCUUAGGGGCUGAUUUCAAUGUCACCAGGUGGAAACUGAAUGGUUACAGAAGGGCACGUGGGAAGAGGCUUUAUUCAUCAUCUAAUCCCAGGCUUUCCUUGGACCCAGGAGGAUUAGGAGGAGGAAGCCAGAGAUAGAAGGGCUGGUCCAGCAGCGGGACCAGAAAGCUCAUCCAGAUGAUGGAACCCAUCGGCUACCCCACAGGGUUUGAGGGAGCUGCCCCUAGAGACUCCCCGAGGGGACCUGAUGGUAACUAACGGAGGGCAGACCCAGACGCCAGUCCAGAUGGGAGCAAAGAAUGCUAUCAGGACAGUCAGGGGCCAGAACAGGAGCCUUCUCUUCACCAGUAUGGGAGACUUCUGAGGACCUUCUUUGGCCUCUUCUCCCACCUCCCCCUCCAUCUCAUAGCCUCAGCAAUCCCCCUCCUUCAGCUGGGGAGACCAGUGCCACUAAAAGCCUUCACAAGGUACUUGCCCUUGGAUUAGAACCCAGGCCCUCCAUGAAGGGCAAUUCCCAAAGCCCAGCCAGGCUGCCCUGCAGAGAACCUCAGUUCCUCCCCACCACACACCUUACCUCGAAAGGGGCCUCCAGGGAGUAGUCAAAGGACAGAAUGAGGUCCACCGCUCUCUGGGGCAGCAGGCUGAGUGGGAACGGAGAGUUGAUGGCAAAGCCCCCAUCCACCAGGCACAGGCAGUCCCGCAUGGGAGUGAGCUGGUUGGGGAAAGCAUCAGGGUGCGUAUCUGCAAUAGGGACAAAUGCUCACUCUUCUCUCUCUGUAGAGAUCUCUCCUCCCCUUCUUCUGAUGGCAACAGAGUCUCCCACCCCAGCCCCUGGCCCUGCCUCCUGGCAGACAUCCCAGUCCUUCCCCAUCAGCCCCUGGGCAGCAGGAGCCCACAGCCCAACCUCCGGGAACAAAGGCAGUGCUGGUCCAGGUGAGCCGUGAGCCGGAGGCAAAGGCAGCGGGGGGACCCCCAGCCAGAGCAGCACCCACCUUUCCAGGCCAUGAACUCCCGGCCAGCCACAUAGUCUUUGUGCAGGCAGAGGCCCCUGGUGAAAUUACAGUUCUCCGCGAAGGUAAAGCGGGAGGUGAAGAUGUCCAGCACGGCCUGGGAGAAGGGCCCCUGGCGGGUGAAGAGCCUGGUCCUCAGACGUGUGGGAUCGUGCAGCUGGAGCUUCUGACAGUCAUCUAGAUGGGAGCGCGUGGGUGAAAUACAGUCAGAAGGGUGCUGUCUGUUCUCCAGUGGCCCUUAUGGCCCAGGGGACCCUUCCUAUCUCCCCCCACAUUCACCCCUCCUUCACCCCACUUCCCAAGCCUCAGACCACUGCUUCCCAGAACCUCUUUUAAAUGACCUUUUCUUUCAGCGUCCCUGUAUUUGAAAGUUGCCUAUGACAGUGUAUUUAUUAAGUGAUAAUUUAUAUGCCCUUUGAAAAUAAAGUUGUGUAUGGGGCGCCU
Felis catus (domestic cat) is the source of this 3439-nucleotide long non-coding RNA. RefSeq lists it as uncharacterized. NCBI's taxonomy places the organism in Eukaryota, Metazoa, Chordata, Mammalia, Carnivora, Felidae. The transcript is spliced from 3 exons. The record is from RefSeq and is a predicted model, not a curated record.